UGGGGAAUAUUGGACAAUGGGGGAAACCCUGAUCCAGCAAUGCCGCGUGAGUGAAGAAGGCCUUAGGGUUGUAAAGCUCUUUCGCCCGCGAAGAUAAUGACGGUAGCGGGAGAAGAAGCCCCGGCUAACUCCGUGCCAGCAGCCGCGGUAAUACGGAGGGGGCUAGCGUUGUUCGGAAUUACUGGGCGUAAAGCGUACGUAGGCGGAUGCGCAAGUUGGGGGUGAAAUCCCGGGGCUUAACCUCGGAAUUGCCCUCAAAACUGCACGUCUUGAGACCGAGAGAGGUAAGGGGAAUUCCUAGUGUAGAGGUGAAAUUCGUAGAUAUUAGGAAGAACACCAGUGGCGAAGGCGCCUUACUGACUCGGUACUGACGCUGAGGUACGAAAGCGUGGGGA
This 395-nucleotide ribosomal RNA is filed under the name uncultured bacterium. RNAcentral's name for it is "bacterial SSU rRNA". It matches the Rfam family "Bacterial small subunit ribosomal RNA", at positions 355 to 767 of the family's 1533-position model. The record is from RNAcentral.